Molecule: ribosomal RNA, 1511 nt
Filed under: uncultured Nitrospiraceae bacterium
Lineage: Bacteria; Pseudomonadati; Nitrospirota; Nitrospiria; Nitrospirales; Nitrospiraceae
Description: SSU rRNA
Rfam family: Bacterial small subunit ribosomal RNA
Source: RNAcentral
AGAGUUUGAUCAUGGCUCAGAACGAACGCUGGCGGCGCGCUUAACACAUGCAAGUCGAACGGGUUUUUAAAGAGUAGCAAUACUUUUUACGAACUAGUGGCGGACGGGUGAGUAACACAUAGGUAACCUGCCCUUAGGAUUGGGAUACUCCCGGGAAACCGGGCACAAUACCGGAUAUCAUUGCAAGAUCAUGUCUUGUAAUGAAAGCUGCGAGCAAUCGUGGCGCCUAAGGAUGGGCCUGUGGCCUAUCAGCUUGUUGGUGAGGUAACGGCUCACCAAGGCUAAGACGGGUAGCCGGACUGAGAGGUCGAUCGGCCACACUGGAACUGAGACACGGUCCAGACUCCUACGGGAGGCAGCAGUGGGGAAUUUUGCGCAAUGGGCGAAAGCCUGACGCAGCGACGCCGCGCGGGGGAAGAAGGCCUUCGGGUUGUAAACUCCUUUAGUAUGGGAAGAAGUCCCGAGCAAUCGGGAUGACGGUACCGUAAGAAUAAGCCACGGCUAACUCUGUGCCAGCAGCCGCGGUAAGACAGAGGUGGCAAGCGUUGUUCGGAUUUACUGGGCUUAAAGGGCGUGUAGGCGUCCCGAUAAGUCAGAUGUGGAAGCCUUGGGCUUAACCCAAGAAGUGCAUUUGAAACUGUCGGGAUUGAGUCGUGCAAGGGAGGGCGGAAUUCCUGGUGUAGCGGUGAAAUGCGUAGAUAUCAGGAGGAAGGCCGGUGGUGAAGACGGCCCUCUAGGCAAUGACUGACGCUGAGGCGCGAAAGCGUGGGUAGCAAACAGGAUUAGAUACCCUGGUAGUCCACGCCCUAAACGGUGCGUACUAGGUGUGGGUGGCGAUAGUCAUCCGUGCCGUAGGGAAACCAUUAAGUACGCCGCCUGGGGAGUACGGCCGCAAGGUUGAAACUCAAAUGAAUUGACGGGGGCCCGCACAAGCGGUGGAGCAUGUGGUUUAAUUCGACGCUACGCGCAAAACCUUACCUAGGCUUGACAUGUUAGUGGUAGGAACCUGAAAGGGUAACGACCUAUUCUUCGGAAUAGGAGCUUUCACAGGUGCUGCAUGGCUGUCGUCAGCUCGUGCCGUGAGGUGUUGGGUUAAGUCCCGCAACGAGCGCAACCCUCAUCCUCUGUUGCCCUUAACGGGGCUCUCUGAGGAAACUGCCGGCGAAGAGCCGGAGGAAGGUGGGGAUGACGUCAAGUCCGCAUGGCCCUUAUGCCUAGGGCUACACACGUGCUACAAUGGCAGAUACAAAGGGUGGCCAAACCGCGAGGUGGAGCCAAUCUCAUAAAGUCUGUCCAAGUUGGGAUCGGAGUCUGCAAUUCGACUCCGUGAACCUGGAAUCGCUAGUAAUCGUGGAUCAGCACGCCACGGUGAAUACGUUCCCGGGCCUUGUACACACCGCCCGUCACACCACGAAAGUCUGUUGUACCCGAAGUGGGUGAGCCAACCAGCAAUGGAGGCAGCCUCCUAAGGUAUGGCCGGUAAUUGGGGUGAAGUCGUAACAAGGUAGCCG